Molecule: unclassified non-coding RNA, 210 nt
Filed under: Ascomycota sp.
Lineage: Eukaryota; Fungi; Ascomycota
Description: partial contains small subunit ribosomal RNA, internal transcribed spacer 1, and 5.8S ribosomal RNA
Rfam family: Eukaryotic small subunit ribosomal RNA (bases 1-47)
Source: RNAcentral
AAAGUCGUAACAAGGUUUCCGUAGGUGAACCUGCGGAAGGAUCAUUACCGUGGGGCUUCGGCCCCAUUGAGAUAGCACCCUUUGUUUAUGAGUACCCUUGUUUCCUCGGUGGGCUUGCCCACCAUGAGGACAAUAAAAACCCUUUGUAGUAGUAGUAACUUCAGUUAAUAAUAAAUAUUAAAACUUUCAACAACGGAUCUCUUGGUUCUG